This 226-nucleotide ribosomal RNA is filed under the name uncultured bacterium. RNAcentral describes it as "partial 16S ribosomal RNA". It matches the Rfam family "Bacterial small subunit ribosomal RNA", at positions 524 to 748 of the family's 1533-position model. The record is from RNAcentral.
UACGUAGGGUGCAAGCGUUAAUCGGAAUUACUGGGCGUAAAGGGCGCGUAGGCGGCCAUGCGUGUCUUCCGUGAAAUCCCUCGGCUUAACUGAGGACGUGCGGAAGAAACUGCAAGGCUCGAGUCCGGGAGAGGGGGGUGGAAUUCCCAGUGUAGCGGUGAAAUGCGUAGAUAUUGGGAGGAACACCGGUGGCGAAGGCGGCCCCCUGGACCGGUACUGACGCGUG